CGCACCUUGCACCCUUUGGUAUUCCGAAGGGUAUGCCUGUUUGAGUGUCAUUUAAUUCUCAACCAUUGAAGUUUUUACCGACUUUCUUUGGCUUGGAUGUGGGGGUUUGCAGGUCUCUUUACAGAGAUCAGCUCCUCUUAAAAGCAUUAGUGAGGACCGUUUGUAGGGGUUCAUCCAUUAUUCACUUGGGCGUGAUAAUUUAUCGUCGUCUCUAACGAAUAAGAACUCUGAGGCUCUUGCUUUCUCAACUGUCCUUCAUUGGACUGUCCUUUUGGGCAUAGACAUCUUUAUUUGACCUCAAAUCAGGUAGGACUACCCGCUGAACUUAA
Molecule: unclassified non-coding RNA, 329 nt
Filed under: Pruinomycena tortuosa
Lineage: Eukaryota; Fungi; Basidiomycota; Agaricomycetes; Agaricales
Description: Hemimycena tortuosa partial contains 5.8S ribosomal RNA, internal transcribed spacer 2, and large subunit ribosomal RNA
Source: RNAcentral